GAGGCUCCCUUCUGGCGAGCCGCCAUGUUCUUUAUUGAAUGUGGCGGGGAACCAGGACUUUUACUUUGAAAAAAUUAGAGUGUUUAAAGCAGGCAUUUGCUUGAAUAGAUUAGCAUGGAAUAAUGGAAUAGGACCUUGGUUCUAUUUUGUUGGUUUCUAGGACCUCGGUAAUGAUUAAUAGGGAUAGUUGGGGGCAUUAGUAUUUAGUAGCUAGAGGUGAAAUUCUUGGAUUUACGAAAGACUAACUUCUGCGAAAGCAUUUGCCAAGGAUGUUUUCAUUAAUCAAGAACGAAAGUUAGGGGAUCGAAGACGAUCAGAUACCGUCGUAGUCUUAACCAUAAACUAUGCCGACUAGGGAUCAGACGAUGUUAAUUUUACUGACUCGUUUGGCACCUUAUGAGAAAUCAAAGUUUUUGGGUUCCGGGGGGAGUAUGGUCGCAAGGCUGAAACUUAAAGGAAUUGACGGAAGGGCACCACCAGGAGUGGAGCCUGCGGCUUAAUUUGACUCAACACGGGGAAACUCACCAGGUCCAGACAUAGUAAGGAUUGACAGAUUGAGAGCUCUUUCUUGAUUCUAUGGGUGGUGGUGCAUGGCCGUUCUUAGUUGGUGGAGUGAUUUGUCUGCUUAAUUGCGAUAACGAACGAGACCUUAACCUGCUAAAUAGUUAUGCCAACUUUUGUUGGUAGACAACUUCUUAGAGGGACUGUCGACGAUUAGUCGACGGAGGUUUGAGGCAUUAACAGGUCUGUGAUGCCUUAAAUGUCCUGGCCGCACCG
RNAcentral lists this ribosomal RNA (777 nucleotides) under Mucoromycotina sp. RNAcentral's name for it is "SSU rRNA". It matches the Rfam family "Eukaryotic small subunit ribosomal RNA", at positions 692 to 1493 of the family's 1831-position model. Lineage: Eukaryota; Fungi; Mucoromycota. The record is from RNAcentral.